CCUACGGGUGGCAGCAGUGAGGAAUAUUGGUCAAUGGACGAGAGCCUGAACCAGCCAAGUAGCGUGAAGGAUGACUGCCCUAUGGGUUGUAAACUUCUUUUAUAGGGGAAUAAAACAGGGUAUGCAUACCCUCUUGUAUGUACCAUAUGAAUAAGGAUCGGCUAACUCCGUGCCAGCAGCCGCGGUAAUACGGAGGAUCCGAGCGUUAUCCGGAUUUAUUGGGUUUAACGGGAGCGUAGGUGGAUUGUUAAGUCAGUUGUGAAAGUUUGCGGCUCAACCGUAAAAUUGCAGUUGAAACUGGCAGUCUUGAGUACAGUAGAGGUCGGCGGAAUUCGUGGUGUAGCGGUGAAAUGCUUAGAUAUCACGAAGAACUCCGAUUGCGAAGGCAGUUCACUGGACUGCAACUGACACUGAUGCUCGAAAGUGUGGGUAUCAAACAGGAUUAGAUACCCUAGUAGUC
This 460-nucleotide ribosomal RNA is filed under the name uncultured bacterium. Its description in RNAcentral is "partial 16S ribosomal RNA". It matches the Rfam family "Bacterial small subunit ribosomal RNA", at positions 338 to 795 of the family's 1533-position model. The record is from RNAcentral.